This 366-nucleotide long non-coding RNA is filed under the name Androctonus crassicauda. Lineage: Eukaryota; Metazoa; Arthropoda; Arachnida; Scorpiones; Buthidae. The record is from RNAcentral.
UUAAUCUGAUAAACCCAACAAAUUCCUUCUUCAGCGAACUCUUACCAAUUAAAAUGUUCAUAUACACAAUAACGUUGACAAUAAGCAAUCCUCAAACAAACAUAGAACAUAAACCAUUGAUUACUCAGACACCACACCAGCUGAGACGUAAAAUACAAAAUCCAGUCUAUUGGACGCCACACCAUCUGAGAUGUAAAACGUCGAUCACUCAAGCACCACACCAACAUAAAAUAAAAGUUCACUCGCUCAGACUCCACACUGGUCAGAAGAAAACAAGAAGGAACAUCUGCAUCGCCUCAUAAUGACUCAUUUAUAGCCCAUUGAAUUUACAUAUUAUAAAACAAAACAAUAAAAAUUAUCUUAACC